UACGUAGGGUGCAAGCGUUAAUCGGAAUUACUGGGCGUAAAGCGUGCGCAGGCGGUUGUGCAAGACGGAUGUGAAAUCCCCGGGCUUAACCUGGGAAUUGCAUUCGUGACUGCACGGCUAGAGUGUGUCAGAGGGGGGUAGAAUUCCACGUGUAGCAGUGAAAUGCGUAGAUAUGUGGACGGAAUACCGAUGGCGAAGGCAGCCCCCUGGGUCAGAUUGACGCUCACGCACGAAAGCGUGGGGAGCAAACAGG
RNAcentral lists this ribosomal RNA (253 nucleotides) under uncultured bacterium. RNAcentral's name for it is "partial 16S ribosomal RNA". It matches the Rfam family "Bacterial small subunit ribosomal RNA", at positions 524 to 776 of the family's 1533-position model. The record is from RNAcentral.